RNAcentral lists this ribosomal RNA (440 nucleotides) under uncultured bacterium. RNAcentral describes it as "partial 16S ribosomal RNA". It matches the Rfam family "Bacterial small subunit ribosomal RNA", at positions 338 to 795 of the family's 1533-position model. The record is from RNAcentral.
CCUACGGGGGGCAGCAGUGGGGAAUAUUGCACAAUGGGGGAAACCCUGAUGCAACGACGCCGCGUGAGUGAAGAAGUAUUUCGGUAUGUAAAGCUCUAUCAGCAGGGAAGAAACUGACGGUACCUGAUUAAGAAGCCCCGGCUAACUACGUGCCAGCAGCCGCGGUAAUACGUAGGGGGCAAGCGUGAUCCGAAUUUACUGGGUGUAAGGGGAGCGUAGACGGCAGUACAAGUCUGGAUGGAAAUGCCGGGGCUUAACCCCGGAACUGCUUUGGAAACUGUGCAGCUAGAGUGCAGGAGGGGUAAGUGGAAUUCCUAGUGUAGCGGUGAAAUGCGUAGAUAUUAGGAGGAACACCAGUGGCGAAGGCGGCUUACUGGACUGUAACUGACGUGGAGGCUCGAAAGCGUGGGGAGCAAACAGGAUUAGAUACCCCAGUAGUC